GAUGAACGCUAGCUACAGGCUUAACACAUGCAAGUCGAGGGGCAGCAUGAACUUAGCUUGCUAAGUUUGAUGGCGACCGGCGCACGGGUGAGUAACACGUAUCCAACCUUCCGUUUACUCAGGGAUAGCCUUUCGAAAGAAAGAUUAAUACCUGAUAGUAUGGUGAGAUUGCAUGAUAGCACCAUUAAAGAUUUAUUGGUAAACGAUGGGGAUGCGUUCCAUUAGGUAGUAGGCGGGGUAACGGCCCACCUAGCCAACGAUGGAUAGGGGUUCUGAGAGGAAGGUCCCCCACAUUGGAACUGAGACACGGUCCAAACUCCUACGGGAGGCAGCAGUGAGGAAUAUUGGUCAAUGGACGAGAGUCUGAACCAGCCAAGUAGCGUGAAGGAUGAAGGUCCUACGGAUUGUAAACUUCUUUUAUAAGGGAAUAAACCCUCCCACGUGUGGGAGCUUGUAUGUACCUUAUGAAUAAGCAUCGGCUAACUCCGUG
RNAcentral lists this ribosomal RNA (490 nucleotides) under uncultured bacterium. RNAcentral's name for it is "bacterial SSU rRNA". It matches the Rfam family "Bacterial small subunit ribosomal RNA", at positions 28 to 507 of the family's 1533-position model. The record is from RNAcentral.